GACGAACGCUGGCGGCGUGCCUAAUACAUGCAAGUCGAACGAACUCUGGUAUUGAUUGGUGCUUGCAUCAUGAUUUACAUUUGAGUGAGUGGCGAACUGGUGAGUAACACGUGGGAAACCUGCCCAGAAGCGGGGGAUAACACCUGGAAACAGAUGCUAAUACCGCAUAACAACUUGGACCGCAUGGUCCGAGCUUGAAAGAUGGCUUCGGCUAUCACUUUUGGAUGGUCCCGCGGCGUAUUAGCUAGAUGGUGGGGUAACGGCUCACCAUGGCAAUGAUACGUAGCCGACCUGAGAGGGUAAUCGGCCACAUUGGGACUGAGACACGGCCCAAACUCCUACGGGAGGCAGCAGUAGGGAAUCUUCCACAAUGGACGAAAGUCUGAUGGAGCAACGCCGCGUGAGUGAAGAAGGGUUUCGGCUCGUAAAACUCUGUUGUUAAAGAAGAACAUAUCUGAGAGUAACUGUUCAGGUAUUGACGGUAUUUAACCAGAAAGCCACGGCUAACUACGUGCCAGCAGCCGCGGUAAUACGUAGGUGGCAAGCGUUGUCCGGAUUUAUUGGGCGUAAAGCGAGCGCAGGCGGUUUUUUAAGUCUGAUGUGAAAGCCUUCGGCUCAACCGAAGAAGUGCAUCGGAAACUGGGAAACUUGAGUGCAGAAGAGGACAGUGGAACUCCAUGUGUAGCGGUGAAAUGCGUAGAUAUAUGGAAGAACACCAGUGGCGAAGGCGGCUGUCUGGUCUGUAACUGACGCUGAGGCUCGAAAGUAUGGGUAGCAAACAGGAUUAGAUACCCUGGUAGUCCAUACCGUAAACGAUGAAUGCUAAGUGUUGGAGGGUUUCCGCCCUUCAGUGCUGCAGCUAACGCAUUAAGCAUUCCGCCUGGGGAGUACGGCCGCAAGGCUGAAACUCAAAGGAAUUGACGGGGGCCCGCACAAGCGGUGGAGCAUGUGGUUUAAUUCGAAGCUACGCGAAGAACCUUACCAGGUCUUGACAUACUAUGCAAAUCUAAGAGAUUAGACGUUCCCUUCGGGGACAUGGAUACAGGUGGUGCAUGGUUGUCGUCAGCUCGUGUCGUGAGAUGUUGGGUUAAGUCCCGCAACGAGCGCAACCCUUAUUAUCAGUUGCCAGCAUUAAGUUGGGCACUCUGGUGAGACUGCCGGUGACAAACCGGAGGAAGGUGGGGAUGACGUCAAAUCAUCAUGCCCCUUAUGACCUGGGCUACACACGUGCUACAAUGGAUGGUACAACGAGUUGCGAACUCGCGAGAGUAAGCUAAUCUCUUAAAGCCACUCUCAGUUCGGAUUGUAGGCUGCAACUCGCCUACAUGAAGUCGGAAUCGCUAGUAAUCGCGGAUCAGCAUGCCGCGGUGAAUACGUUCCCGGGCCUUGUACACACCGCCCGUCACACCAUGAGAGUUUGUAACACCCAAAGUCGGUGGGGUAACCUUUUAGGAACCAGCCGCCUAAGGUGGGACAGAUGAUUAGGGUG
Molecule: ribosomal RNA, 1489 nt
Filed under: Lactiplantibacillus argentoratensis
Lineage: Bacteria; Bacillati; Bacillota; Bacilli; Lactobacillales; Lactobacillaceae
Description: bacterial SSU rRNA
Rfam family: Bacterial small subunit ribosomal RNA
Source: RNAcentral